AACUGAGACACUUUAUCAUUUCGAAAUCCCUUUAUUCUUAGUUCUAACGGCUAUUUUAAUUUCUAUCUCUAUUUUUUUCUUCUCUCUUCUUUCUCUACAAAUUCAACGCACUCUCUCCUUCCUCCAGUUCACUCUGAACUAAACCCAUCCUUUCACUGGCGUCCACACAAUCCGGCUUUACAGAAACCAAUCCGGGUCCGAAGGUUCGGGUAAUAGCAAAGAUUCGUGGGUUUUCGGAUCCAGAUACCAAUUUCGAAACCUCUAAACUGUGGAGUGGGGUUCGGUGAACACCGAAAAUUCUGGGGAGAAGUUACCAUCUCCUUUAAAGAACAAUCUUCUAGAUCAGCUUUUAUAGACCGAAUCCGAACCAUGUCCGACCGGUAUCCACCCCUACUCUCUGGGGGGAAGUUUUUCACUCUUCAUCUUGAGCUUCACCGGAGAAACUUCUUCCGGCGUCAUCCACCAGCUCACCGAGCACCACCACGAAACCUUCCACUGACCAUCAUCUUCCAUUCAACACCGCGGGCACGACCAUCAUCACCUACCAAACCCGCCGUGAACGGAACAACCACCACUACUAUUGGCUUCCCGUCGCCGGCAACACCACACACAACCACCCACAUCCAAACCACAAAUCUCAAAUCUACCUUCGGACUACCUCCACCCUCACACGAUCCAACAAAUCUCUGACGAACACACCUUACAACACCACUCCGCCACCACUGUACGACGGUUUCUACUCAAUAUGUAAAAUUUGAGCUGUUAUUCUUGUAGUAAGAAAGAAGGCAUCAGUAUCGCGUAAAGAGGAAAUAUGUUUGGUUGCGAGGGGGCGGAUCCACGUGAUAACUUGUAUAGGGGUUAUUGUUAUAAUAAGCGACCCAAGUUCAAAAUUAACCUAGAAAAUGUAGCUCUGGAUAUAUAUACAAAGAAAGCUGCUUUGAAGGCUUCUUCUUCUGUUGUUGCUCUUUUAUCUUAUUCUGGGGAGCAAGAGUUGACUCAAUGUUGUGGUGUUAUCAAUGAAAAUAAUGCCAGUAAUCGUCAUACUGUUUUGACAUCUGCAAACCUCAUCCAGUGUCGUACUGAACAAAAUGUGUUGGAAGAUAAAUUGGCUGAUAGUCUUAAGUAUUGCUCCUUGUGAUGAUGAUCUUAAUUGUUAGGAGCUCUUCAAGGGGACUUGCUCGAUCACAAAGUGUGGUGAGGGUGGCGCGCUCGUAAACCUUUAAGGACAAGUUAUUGGUAUUACAUUUUAUGAAGUGAGCUUUACUCCUUUUGUGCCUAUAUAAAUAGCUCAGAAAUACUGGGAGCAUUACGAGAGAUAUGGCAUGAGACUCUGGCGACCUUUAUUGGGAAUUGUGGCUACAAACUUAUAUGCAGUUGAUAUAUCUCACAUAGAGAAGGUUAUUCAUAAGAUUCCAAGUAUUUGCAAUGGGAUUCUUGUUGAGGAGGUAAUUCAAGGUUCUUCUCUUGAUUCUGCUAGGCUACAUGUGAAUGGCGUAACAGUUCAAUGUGAUGGAAAAACAGUUCAGUUUCUUGGAAAAACAGUUCAGUUAUGUUCCUUAACUAAAUCUCAUAUCACACCCCCUAAAGCAGCAGAGAACACCGGCGAACUUUUCAUCAACAAACCUACGUUCUACAUUGCAAUCAUGUCUCUUCUUACCAUGGGCCAAGAACACAGAGGCACUAGGGCGAACAUUGCCUCAUUCGUAAGUUUUCUUGAACAUUGCCUCUUUCGUAUGUUUAUAAUUUAUUUUUUAAAACUCCAAUCUAAUGAUGCAUGCGUUCACACCCUAUGGCUUAUCCAGACCCAUGGUGCGUACCUUACAUAGAGCGUGCGGGGUUGGGUCAUGUUAUGCAUGUGGUAAAUGCCACAAUUGAUGUGAAAUUUAUUCUUGCUUUGUGUGAACGUUGGAGACCAGAGACACACACUUUUCACCUACCAACUAGUGAAUGUACCGUCACACUAGAGGACGUGUACAUGCUUUUGGGUCUUCGAAUAUAUGGUAAGCCUGUGACUGGAAAUGUUCAACAGUCCAACGAACUAUGUGUUCAAAUGUUGGGCGUAGAUCUAGUCGAGGGUGAGGGAUCUGCGAACGCAAGGGGUCAGAGUAUUAAACUAUCGAGCCUCCAAUUCUACCACGACGCUAUAAUUUUGACUGAGGAUUCGUCCGAACAAGAAAAAAUAAUAAAACAAGGUUUUACAUUAUGUUAUUAUUUGGGAACUUGCUAUUUUCCGAAGACACGGGAAAUAACAUAAGCUUUAUGUACUUGAGUUUGCUCGAGGACAUAGAUAGAAUAAGCACGUAUAGUUGAGGUUCUGCUGUAUUGGCUUUCCUAUAUAGCUCUUUGUGUAAAAAUGCACAAAAUGACCACUAUACAUUUUCUGGAUGUGCUUUUUUGCUCCAAACAUGGGGGUGGUGGAGAUUGCUGAGGCUAGCCCCCGAAAAUUCUAACGUCUACUCCUUCCCCUACGCAACUAGGUUCAUUGCAACUGGACUAGAUUACAGUCUUACCCCGAAAAAUAAAAUAAUAUUUUAUCGUCAACUCUUGGAUCGUCUCCGAGCACAAGAUUUUAUUUGGAGACCAUAUUUGGGAUUGGAACAUCAACCCAACCCCGAAGAUGCAGCUGUUUGGACAACAAAAACGGCUAUCAUGCGGUUCACCACUGUGGAGAUGCACCAAAGUGACCAUAUCAAACUGCAAUUCGGAAUGCAUCAAGAAAUCCCAGCCCCCCCAAUGUCUUUGGAACCUUGGCAUCUUAAAAAAGUCAGCCACCAGUGGUAUGUCCAAAAUUGGAAGGCAUUUGCAAAGGAGUUCCGUAAAAUGUGGAAAGAGCGUACCCACUAUGUUCUACAAUUUCCAGUGGCGCCCAACGAAAUAAAGCUGACAAGGGAAUAUGUGGAUUGGUAUAGAGUAAAUACAAAUCCAGAAAUGAUUGUGUCUGACCCGUUCUAUUUGGACGAUCCCCGAAUGCAACAACCAUAUUUCCAACAACAACAACCACCACAAUAUUUCCAACAACAACCACCACAAUAUUACCAACAAUAACAACCACCACCAUAUUACCAACAACAAUCAUCACCACCGUAUUACCAACAACAACCACCACCACCGUAUUACCAACAACAACCACCAUAACACAUGUCCACCCCCCAACCAAAUCAACACUACAUACCACAAACUCAACCCCAAUAUCAUGAAGAUUAUCAACACCAACCUCAACAUUUCCACCACCAUCAACAGUCCCAACACCUACCACAAACUCAAUCCCCCCACCAACACCAAUCCCAACACUUCCAUCACGACGAUGUCCCGGGCUCUUCCAGUCCUCCACUUAGCCCCGACAUAGGUAUACAAGAGGAUUACCAACAAGACUAGUACACACCACAACAGACAUUGUUCUUUAGCCAACCCGAUUCAACCCUCAACUACCAAAUGCCACAUUUCGAGGGCGCAUCCAACAGGAGUCAGUUUGUCCCACCGAGACAAAGCUUUGAGGGCACAGAGGGCACCCGUCUUUCCUACAGCAUUGAAGGGACUUCGACCCAACCACAACGGCAAAGGGCAAGGGAACGCGUUAGGACUAGGGGUGGAAAUAGGGAAGCACCACCACCACGUGAGCCGUCUAGACGAGUAGUUAGACCU
Lathyrus oleraceus (garden pea) is the source of this 3642-nucleotide long non-coding RNA. RefSeq lists it as uncharacterized. The transcript is spliced from 11 exons. Lineage: Eukaryota; Viridiplantae; Streptophyta; Magnoliopsida; Fabales; Fabaceae. The record is from RefSeq and is a predicted model, not a curated record.